Chlorocebus sabaeus (green monkey) is the source of this 3032-nucleotide non-coding RNA. The record is from RefSeq and is a predicted model, not a curated record. Lineage: Eukaryota; Metazoa; Chordata; Mammalia; Primates; Cercopithecidae.
CGGGGUUUCACCAUAUUAGCCAAGCUGGUCUCGAACUUCUGGCCUCAGUUGAUUCCCCACCUCAGUUUUUCCAGUUUAUAUUCCCACCAGCAGGGUACAAGGAUUCCUAUUUCCCUACUUCCUCAUUAAUUAAGGGGAUGACACUCUUUCCGUUGUUUUUAUAGAUCUGCACGGAACAAUGCAGCUUCUCUGCAUGACUGGAGUUUGUUUUGUCUUUGAAGAUAAUCUCACUAGGAUCCAGACCAUACCUGCUGGAGAGUCAGGACUCUGGAUUUCUGACUGUUUUGAGGACAGCUACUCUCAUCCUAGGCUGAUCUGAGUUUCUGGGUCUUUCUCUGCCUGUUCUUUCCUCUCCCCUUCCCUUCUCUGCAGCAGAAAGUGUUUUAUGUGGGUGUCAGCAACAUCAGGACCUUCCAAACCCCUUGCCCCAGUAUCAUCCCUGAAUGCAAAACUCACUUAGAGGCCUAGGGAAGAGAUUAGAGCUCUGCUUUUCCUCUGCCACCUCAGGUGUAUUCUAGCUUACGAGACACUUUCACAGAAAAAAAAUUCAGGGAAUGGAAUGGGAAGGCAAAAAUAGCUGCUUGAUGCUGACUUGGCACAUUGACUUCGACCAAAUCACCUAGCGCCUCGUCCUUAGUACUCUGGUGACCACAGAAUAAUCCUCGCACAGUGAGUAGUGGAAGUCAGGAGGAGUAAACUGCCUAGAUGUCAUGAAGGGAAAGCAAUAGACUUGUGCAAAGUCUAUUCUUGUCUGUUUCCCUGUGAAUCCAGGUUGCUGAACAUCGGCCGAUGUCUGAGCUGUGGUUUUCUUCUGGUUUUGAAAUUUAAUUACUAGAAGACAAUGCUUUUGAAUGGCUUCUUUGCCAUGACUUCCACAGGUCCUGCUGGCUGUUGCCUAAUGAAUGUCUGAUAGGCCUAGCCCCUUGGCAAAGCAAUGUUUUAUUUGCAAAAUUAUGCUUGUCCAGUGCCUCCUGGGAACUGAAAGCCUGGCAUCAGCAGAGGAACACAAACCGGGCAAAUCAUGGAUCUCCAAGGCUUGCAUUGCUUGGGGGCCAUGGCACACAGCACUGCUAAAAGCCUAGGACAAUCUGUGUGUUUUAGGAGCAAACCGAUGCCUCGCACUUCUAAACCGUAUCCUUUGCUCCCUCCCUGAGAGGCAGCCGUGUGCUCUGGGCUUCCUAGGUAAGUGACUCACACCAACUCUAAGCCUGGCUUAUGACCUAGAAAAGGAAACAGGAAGUGGCUUAGAGACAUAAAGAGCACAGCCCAGGAGGGGCUGCCAUGGAAUUCUCCUUAGACUGUGAAGAGGUGCCUCCAACAAGAAAAACCAGUCUCUGGCAGGUCCUCUAAGGGCAGGGAUUCUGGAGAGGCCGCCCUGUCCUCAGCUUGGCCCUGGCACAUUCUGGCUGCAGAGAAAAUGCUGACUGUGAAGAGCCGAGAAAGAUGACAUGAUGAAGCCAUCAGGGGAGGCACCAAACAUCCUUAACUCUGCUCACCUAUGGUUUUCUCCAGCCCUCCCAGAGCUCCUCCUGCGGCCUGGGAGUGACGCCGAGUGACGCCGAACCGAGGGGAGGAUGGUGACCUAUUUUAUCUCCCAAACAUUGGGCAGUCAGUUACAUUCGCAGAUUUAAAAUCCACCCACACUGCUGCAGUUUCUGUUCUCCUGCCCCCCAGGCAUACUUCUGGCUGGAGCUGGUUUUGUAAAAUGGAGUUGGCUGUGGGUGUGGGAGUCCUCCUCGGAGAGCCUGGUCUGACAGCCCCAGUCCACAGCCCUCCCAUGGGCUUUUGGGCUGCUCCAGUCCUGGCAAGUGCACAGCGGCAGGGGAAUCUGGUUUUGUCCUGGUCUCAGCUGGGGAAGUCUAGUUAAAGAAAGAAAAGGUCAGCCGGGUGCAGUGGCUCACACCUGUAAUCUCAGCACUUUGGGGGGCUGAAAUGGGCAGAUCACGAGGUCAGGAGUUUGAGACCAGCCUGGCCAACAUGGUGAAACCCUGUCUCUACUAAAAAUACAAAAAUUAGCUGGGCGUGGUGGUGGAUGCCUGUAAUCGCAGCUACUCAGGAGGCUGAGGCAGGAGAAUCACUUGAAACCGGAAGGUGGAGGUUGCAGUGAGCUGAGGUCCCACCACUGCACUCCAGCCUGGGCAACAAGAGCAAAACUCUGUCUCAAAAAAAAAAAAAAGAUAUCGGUGGAAAUGAGAUCUUUUUUUUUUUGAGUGCCUUGAAUCUGGGGUCUCUCUAAUAUUCUAAUCACUCAAUCACUUAACAAAUAUUUAUUGAGGGCCUACUAGGUGCCACACAUUGGAAGACAGCGGAGGGUGAAGCAGAGUCUGCCCUCAGGGAGAUUACAGUUUAGAUUACAGGCAAGACAGCGCUUACACAUAUAAUUCCAGAUGAGUCAAUAAUGACAGGGGUGCAGAGGCUUUGAAGCAGAAGCAUAAGGUGCAAUGGGAACAUAAAAUAGGGAAGCUUAAUGCAGACUGAGGGGCCUGAGGAGGGUUCCUCGAGAAAGUGAGGUUGAAGCUGAGAACCUGAGGGGUAGUUUGCAUGCAGUACAAUCGAAGGUUGAAAGGGAAGAUCCUCCAAUGCACAAAGAAUUUAUGCUGCAGAAACAUUGUCUUCCUGAGGAUACAUUUGGGAAUGUAGGUAGAAAUUAACUGUCUUGCCUUCAUAUACAGUGUAGUGGAGACCACUGUGGAUCUCCAACGUUUGUCUUUUCUUAGUAACAAGUCCCCAGUUUUUGCUAGGUACAUAGCUACCCAGAGAAAAAAUUAUGUGGCCACCUUACUAUGUUCUGGCCAAUGAGAUGUCAGCAGAGGUAAUGUGCGGGGCCUCUGAGAAGGCUCUUUUCUGCUACUGGCUGGAGGCUGAAAAGCCAUUAGGGACCAUGAAGAGACAUGCUAAGGUUGGAGAGUCAGCGUAUUACAUGGAGCCUCCUUCUCUGAUGGCAAUGGGCUGUGAACAAGCCCUGGAUUGCCUAUUUCCCGACUUCUUUUGUAAAAGGGAGAAAUAAAGGUCAAUUUUUUUAAAAGCGUCUA